This 438-nucleotide ribosomal RNA is filed under the name Osornophryne sumacoensis. RNAcentral describes it as "partial 12S ribosomal RNA". It matches the Rfam family "Bacterial small subunit ribosomal RNA", at positions 913 to 1533 of the family's 1533-position model. The record is from RNAcentral. Lineage: Eukaryota; Metazoa; Chordata; Amphibia; Anura; Bufonidae.
ACGGGGCCCCACAUCCCCUAAAAAGAGCCUGUUCUACAAUCGAUAAUCCACGAUUAACCUCACCAUUUCUAGCUAUCAGCCUGUAUACCUCCGUCGUCAGCUUACCACAUGAGCGCUGAUACAGUAAGCCUAAUGUUAUUACACCCACACGUCAGGUCAAGGUGCAGCUAAUGAAAAGGAAAGAAAUGGGCUACACUUUCUACAUUAGAAGACACGAAAAACUACUUAUGAAAUAUAGUUUAAAGGCGGAUUUAGAAGUAAAAAGGAAUCAGCACGUCCAUUUUAACUCGGCACUGGGGUGUGUACACACCGCCCGUCACCCUCUUCAAGAUUACAACAAAAUUAUUUAAUAAAUUUUAACACCACAGAAGAGGUAAGUCGUAACAUGGUAAGUAUACCGGAAGGUGUGCUUGGAAACGAAAUGUAGCUUAACUAAAG